CCUGGUCAGAACUCAAACUGUAAACAAGCAGACAACAACAACAACAACAACAACAACAGAGCAGAAUCAUGUCCCACCAUCAUCCAGGUCCAAGAGAAGAAAUAAGAAGCCUGAAGAAGAAAAGCAGAGUGAAAACAAAGAAGUGGACCGAGCCAGAGAGGAAACCAGGAUAAAUAUCAGAGCAUCAUUUCAGAGGUGGAGGAGCUGCGGGUCUGUCAGGACUUUUCUGCUGGACAGGAGUGGAAUCUGAGUAAAGAGCAGAAGAGUCGCAGCAGCCAGAUUCAGUGUGACGGCCAGAGGAGACGACCAGGACACAAGAAUCUGCAUUUAAGUCUUGGACCUGCAGGCCUACGAGCAAGCACGAUGAAGCCUGAGUAGAAGCAUCAGUGAGUCCAAACGCAGCUGGAAGCAGCACAUAGAGGAGCUCUUCAACAGCAGCGUGUGAAGCAUGUGGCAGGAGAUAAAGACUCUGACCGGCUACAAGGACAGCUACACAGCCACCAGCUCGACCGACAGAUUGCUGCUGACACACAUCUGGUUCUACCAGGGAAGGUCAGCGCCAUUCAGCUGGACCAACCUCAGGUCAGAUCCAUCCUGCACAGAGUCGAUGUGAGGAAAGCAGCUGGUCCAGACAGAGUCACCGCCAGGAUCCUCAAAGCCUGUGCAGACCAGCCACACUGACACUUGCACACAGAAUUAAAACUUUUGCACAUUCCUGUACAGCUCUUCCAUCUUUAUUAAUCAGUCAUCCCACACUCUGUGUUAUAUUGUAUAUAUUAUAGUUACUGUUUGUGUAUUGAUUGUUGGCUUUAAUGCACCUUAUCCACUAAGACAAGUUCCUCAUUGGUGUAAAACCCUUCUUGGUAAUAAAUCUGAUUCUGUUUCUGUUUCUGUUUCUGAUUGUGAUGAAGUCAUCAGGUUUAGACCAGCUCAGUCUGGAAAGUGUCAUGAGAUGAUUUUUGUUGUGAAUUAUGAAAUUAACAAAUAAAGAUUGAAAGAUGACGUGAUGUAAUGAAGUUCAUCCUGCUGUGAUGACUCACAACAUUGUUAAAACUUUGUCCCACACUUCAAUAAAAGUUUAGUUGCUGAUGGUU
This is a long non-coding RNA of Acanthopagrus latus (yellowfin seabream), 1094 nucleotides long. RefSeq lists it as uncharacterized. The record is from RefSeq and is a predicted model, not a curated record. The transcript has 2 exons. NCBI's taxonomy places the organism in Eukaryota, Metazoa, Chordata, Actinopteri, Spariformes, Sparidae.